RNAcentral lists this signal recognition particle RNA (267 nucleotides) under Mesobacillus maritimus. Its description in RNAcentral is "signal recognition particle sRNA large type". It matches the Rfam family "Bacterial large signal recognition particle RNA". From Rfam's summary of the family: The signal recognition particle (SRP) is a universally conserved ribonucleoprotein involved in the co-translational targeting of proteins to membranes. Archaeal SRP consists of a 7S RNA and homologues of the eukaryotic SRP19 and SRP54 proteins. The record is from RNAcentral. Lineage: Bacteria; Bacillati; Bacillota; Bacilli; Caryophanales; Bacillaceae.
CCGUGCUAGACGGGGAGUUGGCGGUGCCCUGUUACCCGCAAUCCGCCAUAGCGGGGUUGAAUUCCUACUUGAGGUAGAAACAUGUAAGGUCUGCCUUGUGAAGAUUGGUGUUGACAAUUGGGUCCUACGCAAUGGAAACCUAUGAAAUUGGUCAGGUCCGGAAGGAAGCAGCCAUAAGUAGAACUUUCUAUGUGCCGUAGGGUAGCCUAGUUCGAGCUAAAGUUCACAAGUAACGCUUGGUUGUUUCUAUCGAUAGUAGGUGCACGG